AAACAUAGAAGUAAAAUAAAAAUUACAAUUAGUUUCGACCUAAUAUAAGAGAAAAUAACUCCAUGUUUA
This 69-nucleotide transfer RNA is filed under the name Olidiana tongmaiensis. RNAcentral describes it as "tRNA-Arg". The record is from RNAcentral. Lineage: Eukaryota; Metazoa; Arthropoda; Insecta; Hemiptera; Cicadellidae.